Long non-coding RNA from Mastomys coucha (southern multimammate mouse), 857 nucleotides. RefSeq lists it as uncharacterized. The record is from RefSeq and is a predicted model, not a curated record. The transcript is spliced from 4 exons. Lineage: Eukaryota; Metazoa; Chordata; Mammalia; Rodentia; Muridae.
UGGUCACCUUUAGAACACUGCACACGGUCACUUCUCCUUGCUGGUACCAGAGGAUGCACAAUAAACUUAGCAAUUCCCAUAUUCAGAAGUCCAAGCCCAGAUCCUCACCAAAUGCAUGAAACAGACGCUCAUGAGGGAAAAUAAACCCUACAGCAGGGAAUGGAACUCUGUCUUAUCCGGCCCUGGCAUCCUUAUGGUUGUGAAAUGCAGUGCAGACUCUCCACAUACACACUGAAAGCAAGAAAAAGAAAAUGACAGUACAGGAAAGUCAUGCUACAGGAGAGCAGUUUCUAAGAAAGCAGAAAAUGCAGCACUCUUAAGGAUGAAAACCUCAGCGAGGGACGAAGGCUGACUUCCCCCAGAUCCCCGAGACUGAAUCUCUGGCUCUCCUACAAGAGCAUUUGAGGAGACAAGAGACAUGGGAAAGAACACUGAGAAGAAUGGUGAUGAAAAUAACCCCCAGAGAACUCACAGAACAACCUCUCCUGGAGCAAGAGGAAAAGUAGAGAUGUAAAACCACUUUUAACAAGUUAUCAGGAUGAUAAAUGGCUCAGUGGAUAAAUCACUUGCCACAAAAGCACAAUGACCUAAGUUACACCCCCAGAUUCUACUGGCGGCACAAGCUUCAAUCCCAGUGCUAGGAAGGCAGAGACAGGAGGACUCCUGGCUCUAAACGGGCCAACCAGUCUAUCUAAUAUGGAAGCACCAAGCUGAAGAGAAGCCCUAUUACUAAAAACAAGGUGGACAGCAUCUGAGAAACAACAGUAAGCCACUGACCUCCACAUGAGUACACACAUGAUCGUGCACACACGUGUGUACACACAAAGGCAUCUGCACACACACAUGCAUCUGCACAC